GACGAACGCUGGCGGCGUGCCUAAUACAUGCAAGUUGAGCGCUGAAGGUUGGUCCUUGUACCAACUGGAUGAGCAGCGCACGGGUGAGUAACGCGUGGGGAAUCUGCCUUUGAGCGGGGGACAACAUUUGGAAACGAAUGCUAAUACCGCAUAAAAACUUUAAACACAAGUUUUAAGUUUGAAAGAUGCAAUUGCAUCACUCAAAGAUGAUCCCGCGUUGUAUUAGCUAGUUGGUGAGGUAAAGGCUCACCAAGGCGAUGAUACAUAGCCGACCUGAGAGGGUGAUCGGCCACAUUGGGACUGAGACACGGCCCAAACUCCUACGGGAGGCAGCAGUAGGGAAUCGUCGGCAAGGGACGAAAGUCUGACCGAGCAACGCCGCGGGAGUGAAGAAGGUUUUCGGAUCGUAAAACUCGGUUGGUAGAGAAGAACGUUGGUGAGAGUGGAAAGCUCAUCAAGUGACGGUAACUACACAGAAAGGGACGGCUAACUACGUG
This 497-nucleotide ribosomal RNA is filed under the name uncultured bacterium. RNAcentral describes it as "partial 16S ribosomal RNA". It matches the Rfam family "Bacterial small subunit ribosomal RNA", at positions 28 to 507 of the family's 1533-position model. The record is from RNAcentral.